RNAcentral lists this ribosomal RNA (1147 nucleotides) under Klebsiella michiganensis. RNAcentral describes it as "partial 23S ribosomal RNA". It matches the Rfam family "Bacterial large subunit ribosomal RNA", at positions 398 to 1550 of the family's 2925-position model. Lineage: Bacteria; Pseudomonadati; Pseudomonadota; Gammaproteobacteria; Enterobacterales; Enterobacteriaceae. The record is from RNAcentral.
UGUGAACUCGAAGAGUAGGGCGGGACACGUGGUAUCCUGUCUGAAUAUGGGGGGACCAUCCUCCAAGGCUAAAUACUCCUGACUGACCGAUAGUGAACCAGUACCGUGAGGGAAAGGCGAAAAGAACCCCGGCGAGGGGAGUGAAAAAGAACCUGAAACCGUGUACGUACAAGCAGUAGGAGCCCACUGGUUGGGUGACUGCGUACCUUUUGUAUAAUGGGUCAGCGACUUAUAUUCUGUAGCAAGGUUAACCGUAUAGGGGAGCCGCAGGGAAACCGAGUCUUAACUGGGCGUUAAGUUGCAGGGUAUAGACCCGAAACCCGGUGAUCUAGCCAUGGGCAGGUUGAAGGUUGGGUAACACUAACUGGAGGACCGAACCGACUAAUGUUGAAAAAUUAGCGGAUGACUUGUGGCUGGGGGUGAAAGGCCAAUCAAACCGGGAGAUAGCUGGUUCUCCCCGAAAGCUAUUUAGGUAGCGCCUCGUGAACUCAUCUUCGGGGGUAGAGCACUGUUUCGGCUAGGGGGUCAUCCCGACUUACCAACCCGAUGCAAACUACGAAUACCGAAGAAUGUUAUCACGGGAGACACACGGCGGGUGCUAACGUCCGUCGUGAAGAGGGAAACAACCCAGACCGCCAGCUAAGGUCCCAAAGUCAUGGUUAAGUGGGAAACGAUGUGGGAAGGCCCAGACAGCCAGGAUGUUGGCUUAGAAGCAGCCAUCAUUUAAAGAAAGCGUAAUAGCUCACUGGUCGAGUCGGCCUGCGCGGAAGAUGUAACGGGGCUAAACCAUGCACCGAAGCUGCGGCAGCGACACUAUGUGUUGUUGGGUAGGGGAGCGUUCUGUAAGCCGUUGAAGGUGGCCUGUGAGGGUUGCUGGAGGUAUCAGAAGUGCGAAUGCUGACAUAAGUAACGAUAAUGCGGGUGAAAAACCCGCACGCCGGAAGACCAAGGGUUCCUGUCCAACGUUAAUCGGGGCAGGGUGAGUCGACCCCUAAGGCGAGGCCGAAAGGCGUAGUCGAUGGGAAACAGGUUAAUAUUCCUGUACUCGGUGUUACUGCGAAGGGGGGACGGAGAAGGCUAUGUUGGCCGGGCGACGGUUGUCCCGGUUUAAGCAUGUAGGCGGAUGUUCCAGGUAAAUCCGGAACGU